UAUGCUUAGGGCUACACACGUGCUACAAUGGGUAGUACAGAGGGUUGCCAAGCCGUAAGGUGGAGCUAAUCCCUUAAAGCUACUCUCAGUUCGGAUUGUAGGCUGAAACUCGCCUACAUGAAGCUGGAGUUACUAGUAAUCGCAGAUCAGAAUGCUGCGGUGAAUGCGUUCCCGGGUCUUGUACACACCGCCCGUCACACCACGGGAGUUGGAGACGCCCGAAGCCGAUUAUCUAACCUGUUGGAAGAAGUCGUCGAAGGUGGAAUCAAUAACUGGGGUGAAGUCGUAACAAGGUAGCCGUAUCGGAAGGUGCGGCUGGAUCACCUCCUUUCUAAGGAGA
This 340-nucleotide ribosomal RNA is filed under the name Clostridioides difficile. RNAcentral describes it as "bacterial SSU rRNA". It matches the Rfam family "Bacterial small subunit ribosomal RNA", at positions 1203 to 1533 of the family's 1533-position model. The record is from RNAcentral. Lineage: Bacteria; Bacillati; Bacillota; Clostridia; Peptostreptococcales; Peptostreptococcaceae.